This 481-nucleotide ribosomal RNA is filed under the name uncultured bacterium. RNAcentral's name for it is "partial 16S ribosomal RNA". It matches the Rfam family "Bacterial small subunit ribosomal RNA", at positions 28 to 507 of the family's 1533-position model. The record is from RNAcentral.
GAUGAACGCUGGCGGCGUGCUUAACACAUGCAAGUCGAACGAAACACCUUAUUUGAUUUUCUUCGGAACUGAAGAUUUGGUGAUUGAGUGGCGGACGGGUGAGUAACGCGUGGGUAACCUGCCCUGUACAGGGGGAUAACAGUCAGAAAUGACUGCUAAUACCGCAUAAGACCACAGCACCGCAUGGUGCAGGGGUAACAACUCCGGUGGUACAGGAUGGACCCGCGUCUGAUUAGCUGGUUGGUGAGGUAACGGCUCACCAAGGCGACGAUCAGUAGCCGGCUUGAGAGAGUGAACAGCCACAUUGGGACUGAGACACGGCCCAAACUCCUACGGGAGGCAGCAGUGGGGAAUAUUGCACAAUGGGGGAAACCCUGAUGCAGCGACGCCGCGUGAGUGAAGAAGUAUUUCGGUAUGUAAAGCUCUAUCAGCAGGGAAGAAAAUGACGGUACCUGACUAAGAAGCCCCGGCUAACUACGUG